RNAcentral lists this transfer RNA (67 nucleotides) under bovine gut metagenome. It matches the Rfam family "tRNA". From Rfam's summary of the family: Transfer RNA (tRNA) molecules are approximately 80 nucleotides in length. The record is from RNAcentral. RNAcentral also lists the same sequence under 1 other name.
UGGUGUGGCUCAGUUGGUAGAGCAGCGCAUUCGUAAUGCGCAGGUCGUCGGUUCGAGUCCGACCACC